Molecule: ribosomal RNA, 1492 nt
Filed under: Clavibacter michiganensis
Lineage: Bacteria; Bacillati; Actinomycetota; Actinomycetes; Micrococcales; Microbacteriaceae
Also listed under: 1 other name
Description: partial 16S ribosomal RNA
Rfam family: Bacterial small subunit ribosomal RNA
Source: RNAcentral
UAACGNUGGNGGCGUGCUUAACACAUGCAAGUCGAACGGUGAUGUCAGAGCUUGCUCUGGCGGAUCAGUGGCGAACGGGUGAGUAACACGUGAGUAACCUGCCCCCGACUCUGGGAUAACUGCUAGAAAUGGUAGCUAAUACCGGAUAUGACGAUUGGCCGCAUGGUCUGGUCGUGGAAAGAAUUUCGGUUGGGGAUGGACUCGCGGCCUAUCAGGUUGUUGGUGAGGUAAUGGCUCACCAAGCCUACGACGGGUAGCCGGCCUGAGAGGGUGACCGGCCACACUGGGACUGAGACACGGCCCAGACUCCUACGGGAGGCAGCAGUGGGGAAUAUUGCACAAUGGGCGAAAGCCUGAUGCAGCAACGCCGCGUGAGGGAUGACGGCCUUCGGGUUGUAAACCUCUUUUAGUAGGGAAGAAGCGAAAGUGACGGUACCUGCAGAAAAAGCACCGGCUAACUACGUGCCAGCAGCCGCGGUAAUACGUAGGGUGCAAGCGUUGUCCGGAAUUAUUGGGCGUAAAGAGCUCGUAGGCGGUUUGUCGCGUCUGCUGUGAAAUCCCGAGGCUCAACCUCGGGUCUGCAGUGGGUACGGGCAGACUAGAGUGCGGUAGGGGAGAUUGGAAUUCCUGGUGUAGCGGUGGAAUGCGCAGAUAUCAGGAGGAACACCGAUGGCGAAGGCAGAUCUCUGGGCCGUAACUGACGCUGAGGAGCGAAAGCAUGGGGAGCGAACAGGAUUAGAUACCCUGGUAGUCCAUGCCGUAAACGUUGGGAACUAGAUGUGGGGACCAUUCCACGGUCUCCGUGUCGCAGCUAACGCAUUAAGUUCCCCGCCUGGGGAGUACGGCCGCAAGGCUAAAACUCAAAGGAAUUGACGGGGGCCCGCACAAGCGGCGGAGCAUGCGGAUUAAUUCGAUGCAACGCGAAGAACCUUACCAAGGCUUGACAUAUACCGGAAACGUGCAGAGAUGUGCGCCCCCCAAGGUCGGUAUACAGGUGGUGCAUGGUUGUCGUCAGCUCGUGUCGUGAGAUGUUGGGUUAAGUCCCGCAACGAGCGCAACCCUCGUUCUAUGUUGCCAGCACGUAAUGGUGGGAACUCAUAGGAGACUGCCGGGGCCAACCCGGAGGAAGGUGGGGAUGACGUCAAAUCAUCAUGCCCCUUAUGUCUUGGGCUUCACGCAUGCUACAAUGGCCGGUACAAAGGGCUGCGAUACCGUAAGGUGGAGCGAAUCCCAAAAAGCCGGUCUCAGUUCGGAUUGAGGUCUGCAACUCGACCUCAUGAAGUCGGAGUCGCUAGUAAUCGCAGAUCAGCAACGCUGCGGUGAAUACGUUCCCGGGNCUUGUACACACCGCCCGUCAAGUCAUGAAAGUCGGUAACACCCGAAGCCAGUGGCCUAACCGCAAGGAGGAGCUNUCGAAGGUGGNNNNNNNNNNNNNNNNNNNNNNNNNNNNNNNNNNNNNNACAGGAAGGUGUGGCUGGAUCACCUCCUUUCU